RNAcentral lists this ribosomal RNA (440 nucleotides) under uncultured bacterium. RNAcentral's name for it is "bacterial SSU rRNA". It matches the Rfam family "Bacterial small subunit ribosomal RNA", at positions 958 to 1397 of the family's 1533-position model. The record is from RNAcentral.
AACGCGAAGAACCUUACCUGGGCUCGAAAUGUAGAGGACCGCGUAAGAGAUUACGUUUCCCGAAAGGGUCUCUAUAUAGGUGCUGCAUGGCUGUCGUCAGCUCGUGCCGUGAGGUGUUUGGUUAAGUCCAGCAACGAGCGCAACCCUUAUCGUUAGUUGCCAGCGCGUAAUGGCGGGAACUCUAACGAGACUGCCUAGGUUAACUAGGAGGAAGGUGAGGAUGACGUCAAGUCCGCAUGGCCUUUAUGUCCAGGGCUACACACGUGCUACAAUGGUCGGUACAGAAGGCAGCAAAGUCGUAAGAUGGAGCAAAUCCCACAAAACCGAUCUCAGUUCAGAUUGGAGUCUGCAACUCGACUCCAUGAAGUUGGAAUUGCUAGUAAUGGCGUGUCAGCAACAACGCCGUGAAUACGUUCCCGGGCCUUGUACACACCGCAUAC